GUAGGGAAUAUUGCGCAAUGGACGAAAGUCUGACGCAGCGACGCCGCGUGAGUGAUGAAGGCCUUAGGGUCGUAAAGCUCUGUUGAAUGGGAAGAAAAAAAUGACGGUACCAUUCGAGGAAGGACCGGCUAACUUCGUGCCAGCAGCCGCGGUAAUACGAGGGGUCCUAGCGUUGUUCGGAAUCAUUGGGCGUAAAGGGUGUGUAGGUGGCCAUGUAAGUCAGGUGUGAAAGCCCCGGGCUCAACUCGGGAAGUGCACUUGAUACUGCGUGGCUUGAGUACCGAAGAGGGUAGUGGAAUUCCAGGUGUAGUGGUGAAAUACGUAGAUAUCUGGAGGAACACCGGUGGCGAAGGCGGCUACCUGGUCGAGUACUGACACUGAGACACGAAAGCAUGGGGAUCAAACAGGAUUAGAAACCCGUGUAGUCC
RNAcentral lists this ribosomal RNA (428 nucleotides) under uncultured bacterium. RNAcentral describes it as "partial 16S ribosomal RNA". It matches the Rfam family "Bacterial small subunit ribosomal RNA", at positions 354 to 796 of the family's 1533-position model. The record is from RNAcentral.